This 253-nucleotide ribosomal RNA is filed under the name uncultured bacterium. Its description in RNAcentral is "partial 16S ribosomal RNA". It matches the Rfam family "Bacterial small subunit ribosomal RNA", at positions 524 to 776 of the family's 1533-position model. The record is from RNAcentral.
UACGGAGGGUGCGAGCGUUAAUCGGAAUUACUGGGCGUAAAGAGCACGUAGGUGGUUUGAUAAGUCAGGUGUGAAAGCCCUGGGCUUAACCUGGGAAUUGCAUUUGAUACUGUCAAGCUAGAGUAUAGGAGAGGAAUGCGGAAUUCCGGGUGUAGCGGUGAAAUGCGUAGAUAUCCGGAGGAACAUCAGUGGCGAAGGCGGCAAUCUGGACUAAGACUGACACUGAGGUGCGAAAGCGUGGGGAGCAAACAGG